CGAACUUUGAAACACGGACACACGGUAGGAGAAAGGAGCGUUUUUAAAUCACUAAAAUACGACAAUUUUCGUCCUUUCUAUGAACACAACCGUCUAUCUAAACGAAAUCGGCAAUGAUGGAAGCUAGAAAAACACAGACUCGUGCAAAAUCAAGGUAAAUAAUCGCGGGUAUUUGGAUUUUUUAACCGCUUUGUUUUAAUGGAGUGUCGCGUUACUUGUGAAUGUUGCAGUGUUCUGAUCUGAAAAAUAUGUUUUUUUAGAAUUUCUGUGAAAAAAGGCAGUGCACUCCAAAACAAAGAAAAUGUGCCUAACAACGCAAGUAAAAAAGG
Paramuricea clavata is the source of this 329-nucleotide non-coding RNA. Lineage: Eukaryota; Metazoa; Cnidaria; Anthozoa; Malacalcyonacea; Plexauridae. The record is from the annotation of a GenBank genome assembly.